This is a non-coding RNA of Triticum urartu, 115 nucleotides long. The record is from Rfam. Lineage: Eukaryota; Viridiplantae; Streptophyta; Magnoliopsida; Poales; Poaceae.
AUACUACUCCCUCUGUUCCGAAUUACUUGUCGCAAGUAUGGAUGUAUCUAGAUGUAUUUUAGUUCUAAACACACCCAUUUCUUCAACGAGUAAUUUGGAACGGAGGGAGUACUAC